RNAcentral lists this ribosomal RNA (253 nucleotides) under uncultured bacterium. Its description in RNAcentral is "partial 16S ribosomal RNA". It matches the Rfam family "Bacterial small subunit ribosomal RNA", at positions 524 to 776 of the family's 1533-position model. The record is from RNAcentral.
UACGUAGGGGGCUAGCGUUGUCCGGAAUCAUUGGGCGUAAAGCGCGUGUAGGCGGCCCGGUAAGUCCGCUGUGAAAGUCGGGGGCUCAACCCUGGGAUGCCGGUGGAUACUGUCGGGCUCGAGUCCGGAAGAGGAGUGUGGAAUUCCUGGUGUAGCGGUGAAAUGCGCAGAUAUCAGGAGGAACACCAAUGGCGAAGGCAGCACUCUGGGACGUGACUGACGCUGAGACGCGAAAGCGUGGGGAGCAAACAGG